This 198-nucleotide ribosomal RNA is filed under the name Vibrio parahaemolyticus. Its description in RNAcentral is "partial 16S ribosomal RNA". It matches the Rfam family "Bacterial small subunit ribosomal RNA", at positions 1 to 182 of the family's 1533-position model. Lineage: Bacteria; Pseudomonadati; Pseudomonadota; Gammaproteobacteria; Vibrionales; Vibrionaceae. The record is from RNAcentral. RNAcentral also lists the same sequence under 1 other name.
AAAUUGAAGAGUUUGAUCAUGGCUCAGAUUGAACGCUGGCGGCAGGCCUAACACAUGCAAGUCGAGCGGAAACGAGUUAUCUGAACCUUCGGGGAACGAUAACGGCGUCGAGCGGCGGACGGGUGAGUAAUGCCUAGGAAAUUGCCCUGAUGUGGGGGAUAACCAUUGGAAACGAUGGCUAAUACCGCAUGAUGCCUU